Long non-coding RNA from Daktulosphaira vitifoliae (grape phylloxera), 1553 nucleotides. RefSeq lists it as uncharacterized. NCBI's taxonomy places the organism in Eukaryota, Metazoa, Arthropoda, Insecta, Hemiptera, Phylloxeridae. The transcript has 3 exons. The record is from RefSeq and is a predicted model, not a curated record.
CUUAAUUAUAAAAUUUAAUAUUUUAUACUUUUGAUAUUUGUUUAAAAGAAAAACGUAUAAACUAAGUUUCAUUUGUUCAGUGUAAUUUUUAAUUCAGGUUUAUAUUUUCUUUUGAUUAUAGGAGAAGAUAUAUUAAAAUGUGUUUCUUGUAAAACUACAACAGGAUUAGAGCAUGUUUAUCCGUGUGAUCACUUUUAUUGUAGCGCCUGUAGAAGUGCGACUUGGAACUGUUCGACUUGUAAACGAGCUGUCAUAUUUAGUAAUAUUAUUCAUAAUAUUAAAUAUGAGAACUAAAUUCACCAACAACAUUUAUAAUUUAUUUUGUAAAUUUAAAUCUAACAAUAUGCUUUAAUACUUUUUUAAUAGCUUUAAGAAUAACACACUUGAUCUAUCGCAUAUAUUUAGUGUAGUUUAUUGUGUUUCUUAUGUGUUAUUAUAACAAUGGAUAUCGCCAUUAUAAUCCUUGAAGGAGGAUUCAUGGACGUUAUACACUGUAAUAUAUUUCAAAUUAUCAUGUAACUGUUUAGUUAAAAGGUACUUUUCUUUUUUUUUAAACUCAUUCUUUCUAUAGAAUUUCUAUAGAUUCUUUUGAAAUAUUGUCUAACAUUGAAAAAUAAUAUAAAGAAUCAACAAUAAUAUUCUCCGUGACUGAAUGUAGAGUGAGCUUAAUUUUCACAAACUAUUCGUAGUAAUAAUAUUAAUCAUAUUUUAUUUAUCAAACAUACAAUCUAAUAAACUAUACUAUAUAAUCGCAAGCUACACAUCUAAAUAAUAGAUUUAAUGACAUACAUAAUGUAUAGUUCAAUGUUUGAUCAUUAAUUUUACUUUCUUCUAAAAUUAAAAAGCUUACUAGUAAAGAUAAAAAUGUUAGUAUUUUAGUGGUUCAUAAUAAUAAAUAUUCAGUGUAACUUAAAUUCAAGUUUAUAUUUUAUUUUGAUAUAGGAAACAAAUUAAAGUGUAUAAUAUGUAGUCUGGAGUCCAAUCUAGUCUUGAAGUCCAGUAAUGUAUUUUGUCAGAAUUGUAAAAACAUAGGUAAAACACAUUAUAUAUGGUAUUUAGUAAGUAAGGAAGUGUGUUUUUAUUUUUCUCAUUGUUCUUAACAAUUAUUCGGUUUCUUUAGUGAGCAGCCUAUAUAUUUUAAAAUUAUAUUAGUUAAAAUAAAACAUAAUAUUAAUAAACUUGCAUUCGUAUUGAUAUUGUAGGUAAAUAAUAAAUUUAUGUAUAUACUUAUAUUAUAAGGGUAUUCAACGAUAUCGUUUCAAAUUUUUGGACAUUUGAUUGUGAUAUCGAAAUAUAUCAAUACCGUGAUAAUAAGAUUAUUGAACAUUUUCGUCAGUUAGUUAAUAAUUAUGUUAGUACCACAUUAUAGGAAUGUCUAAUUAUUGGAAUGAUACGCAUGUCGCAAAAUGUCAAUAAAAAAAUUAAAUUAAACAUAAAAUUCUAUUUUAAUAAACCCAUUUAAAUUAAUAUCGAAAAUACCGCGAUAUUUCAAAACAAUAUCAAAAUAAAAUUUUGCAAAAAAAAAAACGACAUCAUAUCAAUAUUUUAUAGUC